RNAcentral lists this unclassified non-coding RNA (340 nucleotides) under soil metagenome. RNAcentral's name for it is "partial contains 5.8S ribosomal RNA, internal transcribed spacer 2, and large subunit ribosomal RNA". The stretch from base 1 to 120 matches the Rfam family "5.8S ribosomal RNA", at positions 35 to 154 of the family's 154-position model. The record is from RNAcentral.
GAUGAAGAACGUAGUGAAAUGCGAUAAUUAAUGUGAAUUGCAGAAUUCAGUGAAUCAUCGAGUCUUUGAACGCACAUUGCGCCCCCUGGUAUUCCGGGGGGCAUGCCUGUCCGAGCGUCAUUGCUGCCCUCAAGCCCGGCUUGUGUGUUGGGCCCUGCUCCCCCGGGGGCAGGCCCGAAAGGCAGUGGCGGCACCGCGUCCGAUCCUCGAGCGUAUGGGGCUUUGUCACCCGCUCUGUAGGCCCGGCCGGCGCUUGCCGACCCCCAUCAAUCUUUUUUCAGGUUGACCUCGGAUCAGGUAGGGAUACCCGCUGAACUUAAGCAUAUCAAUAAGCGGAGGA